Molecule: non-coding RNA, 2348 nt
Organism: Misgurnus anguillicaudatus (oriental weatherfish)
Lineage: Eukaryota; Metazoa; Chordata; Actinopteri; Cypriniformes; Cobitidae
Source: RefSeq, a predicted model, not a curated record
CUUACCCCAUACUCUAACCUGAAUGCAGGGAUCAUAAAACUUUAUCUUUUACCUUAAUUGUUAGAUGGGUGUUGAUACCAAACUUUUUUUCUCGUCUACCCAGGAGAAAGUCAUGGGUUCUGCUGCUAAGGUUGUCAUAAACGUCUUUUAUUCUGCUUACCUGACUCAUGCAGAAUUCUGGCUUGAUGUUUGGUCCACCUGUUAGCUGGCUCUGGUGCUUGGUAGUCUUCUCAAACCUCUGAAUCAAGACCACCAUGAGAGGCCUUCUGAAGACCAUCAUAACGCUUCAGAUCCAGUUGUCUUUACUUUGAGCCUACCACAAUCCCUGUGCACCAGCUAUGGAAAGUGAAGACCAAACUUCUACCUCCACCUAUAGAACUGAACUGGAGUCUGUGAACUAAUGCUGUGUUCGAGACAACUUGGAUGUUGGAUAUUAUUGACCUCAAACCCGUAAGAAGUCUGGAACCGCAAACAAAGUUGAGUAUCCGACCUCUCAACUUGGGACAGAUCCAUCAACCCCGACCUCAAUGAGAUGCAUCAUUUGACAUUGCAGACAAGGUGGUGGCUAGCCUUUCACAGCCUUACAUGAACCGCAAACAAACUUUAAACAAUUUUUACUGCACAUAUUUAUGAACAUGAAUGUUAAAUUAUCCAGUAACCGUUUUCUGCCAUAAUUGGCACAAGAGCACAAACUUCUCCUGGCGUCUCAUUAUGUGGUAAACACGCAAAUGUGAUACGUGAUUGACUGGAAUGCAUUGAGGUCGGAGCGAGGUAGGAUAUUUAAUGACAUAACAUCAGAAAUCCGAGUUGUCUGUAACACUGCACAAUAUUUCACAGAAUUGUCACCACCUGAUUAUCCUCCCAUGUUUUUAACACAACCAUUGAUUGGUCACACGGAUGAAGGCAGCAAGCAGAGACAUUUGUCCUUUGUAUCUCUAAAAAAAAAAGAAAUCUAUAUUUAAUGUUAAAAAACACUUACUGUGUUAGAUAACUGUGCUCUUGGAAGUCAGCUUAAGUGAACAAAUGGUAAUGUUAAUGAAAAGUUCAUUUUUGUCACAGUUGCAAACUAACAACCACACAGAAUAUGAAGAAUAGCCAGAACUGUGGUAAUAAGCUAGCCCUAAAAUGUUGUGAGAAUCUUGAUGUAUUGGACACAGGUGUGUAGUAUCUGUUAUUUAUACCACGGGUGUGUUGAAUGCUGUAUUCUGAUUGGCUGAGAAAUGUUCCGUGGGUAUGCAUUAAUUUCUGAUAACCACACACCUAACUUGUCAAAUGUCUUAAAAUUAGGCACCAGAGCAAUGUUUGUGGUAACUGUGGUAUUAGAAGAAUAAUUGACUCCGGUCCUUUGAAUUAUUUGAAAAUAAAGCACACCUGCAGUUUAACGGCACUCCGCUUCGGGUCGUGCCGCAUUGCACCUUGGGUGUGCAUUAUUUUCUUUUAAUUCAAUGGCCCGUCGUCAAUUAUUCCUUACAUAUUGACGGUUGACAGGUUUGUUUGCAUGUAAUUGCGUUAUUAUUAAUUUGGGGUUGAUAGUCCAAUGUCGAUUUUUUUCUUUUUAGAUCCUUUCUCUUUUUAAUGCAGAACUUAAGGAUGAACCACCCUGAUCUACUAAGAUGCACAGAUUCAACUCUGGCCCAGCAUCAUCCCCACACCUCAUCUGCCAUCAGUUUAAUUUAAUGUCUGUCAAUUGCAAAUGCUAUUCAUUUCAGUUAUAUUACAACUUAAUGUUAACUUUAAUUGAGACUAGUAUUGUGUAAAGCUGGGGUUUCCAAACUUUUCAUUUCAAAACCUAUUAGACAAGUGUAAUCUAUUCUAGACCCACUAAAAUAUUUUUAAAUAUAAAUUUUUUUAAUGGGGUAAAACAAAUUUGUUCUCUUUCAGUGGAGUCAUUUUAUUUUCAUAAUAUUUCAUAAUGUAAAGCAGUGGUUCUUAACGUUAUUCCUCGAAGCCCAUUGCUCUGCACAUUUUGUUGACUCUUUUAUCUGACAGACUCAGUUCAGUUCAUUGAGAUCUCUUCUAAUGUGCUGAUGAUUUAAAUCAGGUGUGUUAAAAAAGGGAGACAUACAAAAUGUGCAGGGCAGUGGGCCUCGAGGAAUAACAUUAAGAACCACUGAUGUAAAGUAACUAUAAGUUUAUUUGCAAAACCAAAUAUUUUAUGGUAUAUUCUUUCAAAACCAUUGUCAUUGUUAAUUAUUAAUUUGGCCAAACUGUUGUUGCAUCAUUAAGGUGCGAAACACACCUUAACCUACUGUGUGACCGACAAGUGGGUCCUCCUGACCCACAGUUUAAAAUCCCCUGGUGUACCGAAUGUUGUAUUGUAAUUAAAGUCGCAUCUAAGUCUUGUGUAA